UACGUAGGGAGCAAGCGUUGUCCGGAAUCAUUGGGCGUAAAGCGCGCGUAGGCGGCCCCGUAAGUCCGCUGUGAAAGUCAAAGGCUCAACCUUUGAAAGCCGGUGGAUACUGUGGGGCUAGAGUCCGGAAGAGGCGAGUGGAAUUCCUGGUGUAGCGGUGGAAUGCGCAGAUAUCAGGAGGAACACCGGUGGCGAAGGCGGGUCUCUGGGCCGAUACUGACGCUGAGGAGCGAAAGCAUGGGUAGCGAACAGG
This 253-nucleotide ribosomal RNA is filed under the name uncultured bacterium. RNAcentral's name for it is "partial 16S ribosomal RNA". It matches the Rfam family "Bacterial small subunit ribosomal RNA", at positions 524 to 776 of the family's 1533-position model. The record is from RNAcentral.